Non-coding RNA from Paramuricea clavata, 361 nucleotides. The record is from the annotation of a GenBank genome assembly. Lineage: Eukaryota; Metazoa; Cnidaria; Anthozoa; Malacalcyonacea; Plexauridae.
GGCCAACAGGUGGCAUUCCAUAUAAAUAUCCCAAUAAUGACGCCGCAAUAGAGUAUUAAGAACAACUUUUGUGCACAGAUUUUGGCUGCUAUAUUUGUUAAUGUUAUUGUGUAGAAUGUAAGGCGGGUAAGUAGGAUUGAUAAACUGUACCGUCACCUCCUCAUCAACAAAAAAUCCCGUCGACAAUAAUUUCUAGAAUUGUAUUCGUACUGAUUCUCGAAACCAACAAAAUUGUAUGUUGGUCAAAAUCGACGCCUGCAUAGAAGCACAUUUCCCCCUAAAUAACCGUAUUUCGAUUCGCGAUUUUGGGUUCAUUCGGCGACCAAGUAAAAUAAUUUAUAAUAAUUUUUGAAUAUUUUAA